GCUAGCGUAGCUUAAUAUAAAGCAUAGCACUGAAGAUGCUAAGAAGGGCCCUAAAAAGCCCCGCACGCA
This 69-nucleotide transfer RNA is filed under the name Labeo batesii. RNAcentral describes it as "tRNA-Phe". It matches the Rfam family "tRNA". Rfam says of the family: Transfer RNA (tRNA) molecules are approximately 80 nucleotides in length. Their secondary structure includes four short double-helical elements and three loops (D, anti-codon, and T loops). Further hydrogen bonds mediate the characteristic L-shaped molecular structure. tRNAs have two regions of fundamental functional importance: the anti-codon, which is responsible for specific mRNA codon recognition, and the 3' end, to which the tRNAs corresponding amino acid is attached (by aminoacyl-tRNA synthetases). tRNAs cope with the degeneracy of the genetic code in two manners: having more than one tRNA (with a specific anti-codon) for a particular amino acid; and 'wobble' base-pairing, i.e. permitting non-standard base-pairing at the 3rd anti-codon position. Lineage: Eukaryota; Metazoa; Chordata; Actinopteri; Cypriniformes; Cyprinidae. The record is from RNAcentral.